UGUAUGUUUUGUGGAGGUGUGUGGUGGGGUGUGGAGGUGUGUGGUGGGGUGUGGAGGUGGUGUAGGGGUGUGUGGAGGUGUGUAGUGGUGUGUGGAGGUGUGUAGUGGUGUAGUGGAGGUGGUGUAGUGGUGUGUGGAGGUGUGUAGUGGUGUGUGGAGGUGGUGUAGUGGGGUGUGGAGGUGGUGUAGUGGGGUGUGGAGGUGGUGUAGUGGUGUGUGGAGGUGGUGUAGUGGUGUGUGGAGGUGUGUGGUGGGGUGUGGAGGUGGUGUAGUGGUGUGUGGAGGUGUGUAGUGGUGUGUGGAGGUGGUGUAGUGGUGUGUGGAGGCGUGUGGAGGUGGUGUAGUGGUGUGUGGAGGUGGUGUAGUGGUGUGUGGAGGUGUGUAGUGGGGUGUGGAGGUGGUGUAGUGGUGUGUGGAGGCGUGUGGAGGUGGUGUAGUGGGGUGUGGAGGUGGUGUAGUGGGGUGUGGAGGUGGUGUAGGGGUGUGUGGAGGUGUGUGGUGGGGUGUGGAGGUGGUGUAGUGGUGUGUGGAGGUGUGUAGUGGUGUAGUGGUGUGUGGAGGUGGUGUAGUGGGGUGUGGAGGUGGUGUAGUGGUGUGUGGAGGUGUGUGGUGGGGUGUGGAGGUGGUGUAGUGGUGUGUGGAGGUGUGUGGAGGUGGUGUAGUGGUGUGUGGAGGUGGUGUAGUGGUGUGUGGAGGUGUGUAGUGGUGUGUGGAGGUGUGUAGUGGUGUGUGGAGGUGGUGUAGUGGGGUGUGGAGGCGUGUGGAGGUGUUGUAGUGAGGUGGUGUAGUGGGGUGUGGAGGCGUGUGGAGGUGUUGUAGUGGUGUGUGGAGGCGGUGUAGUGGUGUGUGGAGGUGUGUAGUGGUGUGUGGAGGUGGUGUAGUGGUGUGUGGUGGUGUAGUGGGGUGUGGGUGUGGAGGGUUAAGAUGAGAUGAGUUCUGUUCUGAUGAGAUGAGAUCUGUUCAGAUGAGAUGAAAUGAGU
This is a long non-coding RNA of Clupea harengus (Atlantic herring), 980 nucleotides long. NCBI's taxonomy places the organism in Eukaryota, Metazoa, Chordata, Actinopteri, Clupeiformes, Clupeidae. The record is from Ensembl.